GGCCUUAUAGUCAAAAAUGAUAUAAAAUUGCAAAUUUUAAGGGGUAAGUUAAUUACUAAGGCUU
RNAcentral lists this transfer RNA (64 nucleotides) under Dodona adonira. Its description in RNAcentral is "tRNA-Cys". The record is from RNAcentral. Lineage: Eukaryota; Metazoa; Arthropoda; Insecta; Lepidoptera; Riodinidae.